UGGGGAAUAUUGCACAAUGGGCGCAAGCCUGAUGCAGCCAUGCCGCGUGUAUGAAGAAGGCCUUCGGGUUGUAAAGUACUUUCAGCGGGGAGGAAGGGAGUAAAGUUAAUACCCUUACUCAUUGACGUUACCCGCAGAAGAAGCACCGGCUAACUCCGUGCCAGCAGCCGCGGUAAUACGGAGGGUGCAAGCGUUAAUCGGAAUUACUGGGCGUAAAGCGCACGCAGGCGGUUUGUUAAGUCAGAUGUGAAAUCCCCGGGCUCAACCUGGGAACUGCAUCUGAUACUGGCAAGCUUGAGUCUCGUAGAGGGGGGUAGAAUUCCAGGUGUAGCGGUGAAAUGCGUAGAGAUCUGGAGGAAUACCGGUGGCGAAGGCGGCCCCCUGGACGAAGACUGACGCUCAGGUGCGAAAGCGUGGGGAGCAAACA
Molecule: ribosomal RNA, 427 nt
Filed under: uncultured Enterobacteriaceae bacterium
Lineage: Bacteria; Pseudomonadati; Pseudomonadota; Gammaproteobacteria; Enterobacterales; Enterobacteriaceae
Description: bacterial SSU rRNA
Rfam family: Bacterial small subunit ribosomal RNA
Source: RNAcentral